This 1373-nucleotide ribosomal RNA is filed under the name uncultured bacterium. Its description in RNAcentral is "bacterial SSU rRNA". It matches the Rfam family "Bacterial small subunit ribosomal RNA", at positions 28 to 1381 of the family's 1533-position model. The record is from RNAcentral.
GAUGAACGCUGGCGGCGUGCCUAAUACAUGCAAGUCGAGCGAACGGACGAGAAGCUUGCUUCUCUGAUGUUAGCGGCGGACGGGUGAGUAACACGUGGAUAACCUACCUAUAAGACUGGGAUAACUUCGGGAAACCGGAGCUAAUACCGGAUAAUAUUUUGAACCGCAUGGUUCAAAAGUGAAAGACGGUCUUGCUGUCACUUAUAGAUGGAUCCGCGCUGCAUUAGCUAGUUGGUAAGGUAACGGCUUACCAAGGCAACGAUGCAUAGCCGACCUGAGAGGGUGAUCGGCCACACUGGAACUGAGACACGGUCCAGACUCCUACGGGAGGCAGCAGUAGGGAAUCUUCCGCAAUGGGCGAAAGCCUGACGGAGCAACGCCGCGUGAGUGAUGAAGGUCUUCGGAUCGUAAAACUCUGUUAUUAGGGAAGAACAUAUGUGUAAGUAACUGUGCACAUCUUGACGGUACCUAAUCAGAAAGCCACGGCUAACUACGUGCCAGCAGCCGCGGUAAUACGUAGGUGGCAAGCGUUAUCCGGAAUUAUUGGGCGUAAAGCGCGCGUAGGCGGUUUUUUAAGUCUGGUGUGAAAGCCCACGGCUCAACCGUGGAGGGUCAUUGGAAACUGGAAAACUUGAGUGCAGAAGAGGAAAGUGGAAUUCCAUGUGUAGCGGUGAAAUGCGCAGAGAUAUGGAGGAACACCAGUGGCGAAGGCGACUUUCUGGUCUGUAACUGACGCUGAUGUGCGAAAGCGUGGGGAUCAAACAGGAUUAGAUACCCUGGUAGUCCACGCCGUAAACGAUGAGUGCUAAGUGUUAGGGGGUUUCCGCCCCUUAGUGCUGCAGCUAACGCAUUAAGCACUCCGCCUGGGGAGUACGACCGCAAGGUUGAAACUCAAAGGAAUUGACGGGGACCCGCACAAGCGGUGGAGCAUGUGGUUUAAUUCGAAGCAACGCGAAGAACCUUACCAAAUCUUGACAUCCUUUGACAACUCUAGAGAUAGAGCCUUCCCCUUCGGGGGGGCAAAGUGACAGGUGGUGCAUGGUUGUCGUCAGCUCGUGUCGUGAGAUGUUGGGUUAAGCCCCGCAACGAGCGCAACCCUUAAGCUUAGUUGCCAUCAUUAAGUUGGGCACUCUAAGUUGACUGCCGGUGACAAACCGGAGGAAGGUGGGGAUGACGUCAAAUCAUCAUGCCCCUUAUGAUUUGGGCUACACACGUGCUACAAUGGACAAUACAAAGGGCAGCGAAACCGCGAGGUCAAGCAAAUCCCAUAAAGUUGUUCUCAGUUCGGAUUGUAGUCUGCAACUCGACUACAUGAAGCUGGAAUCGCUAGUAAUCGUAGAUCAGCAUGCUACGGUGAAUACGUUCCCGGGUCU